AGUGAACGCUGGCGGUAGGCCUAACACAUGCAAGUCGAACGGCAGCAUAGUAAGAGCGUGCUCUUACGGUUGGCGAGUGGCGGACGGGUGAGAAGUACAUCGGAAUCCACUAUUUCGUGGGGGACAACGUGGGGAAACUUACGCUAAUACCGCAUACGAUGUACGGCUGAAAGCAGGAGAGAUUCAGGGCUUGCCCGUCUGAAAUAGCCGAAGCCGCGCCGCAUUAGCUAGUUGGUAAGGUAACGGCCAACCAAGGCGACGAUGCGUAGCCGAGCUGAGAGGAUGAUCGGCCACACUGGAACUGAGACACGGUCCAGACUCCUACGGGAGGCAGCAGUGGGGAAUCUUCGGCAAUGGGCGCAAGCCUGACCGAGCCACACCGCGUGAGUGAAGAAGGUCUUCGGGUUGUAAAGCUCUUUUGUUGGGAAAGAACAGCUGCAGGUGUAUCCAUCGCUGUUCUGACGGUACCCAAACAAUAAGCACCGGCUAACUUCGUG
Molecule: ribosomal RNA, 497 nt
Filed under: uncultured bacterium
Lineage: Bacteria
Description: partial 16S ribosomal RNA
Rfam family: Bacterial small subunit ribosomal RNA
Source: RNAcentral